Molecule: long non-coding RNA, 11617 nt
Filed under: Lactuca sativa (garden lettuce)
Lineage: Eukaryota; Viridiplantae; Streptophyta; Magnoliopsida; Asterales; Asteraceae
Description: long non-coding RNA (LSAT_LNC003665)
Source: RNAcentral
UUUCCAUCAUCUGAGUGUGCCCGUAAUUUCACUGAUUUCCUGAGAAUACAUGUAUUUUAAAAGUCAACACGAGGUUGGUGAGAGUCACAGGUUUUCUGCUAGCCGCAGUAAUAAUACUUUCAAAAGUCCAAAAGUAUAUUUUUCUUGUAUAACAAUAGUUGAAACAAUGCUUGUCAUGAGUCUUUAAAAGCCAAUAAGUAAUUUUAUAAAUAAAUCUAUGCUUUUAAAAGAAAACGUGUUUGAUAUAACUUCAUGAAAGUUUAAAUAUAUUCAUUGUAUAAGUAACCACUAUACUUAAAAAAAACAGUUUUGAAGGCAACCAAACCUAUGGUUGUAGUGAAAAAGUGAGAGAGAUUCGUGUUAAUGUUUUUAGUGAGUUCUAUAAUCAAGCUAUAGACGAAAGGUACCCCUCCCUACGACGCUUCAUUGGACAUCGUAGUAACGAUCGUAGACACAUAUCACCUGCUUCGAUUGAUCAGUCGAUGGUUGUAGCUAGCAACCGCAGGUGGGGUUGUCAACCCUAUAUAGAUCUAUAUAUAUGUAACUCGCUCCGAAGAUUAACGAUUAUAGCAGUGUGGGGCAGGCUAAGUGAUUAAACUCAGCUAAUGAAUAGUAGCGUCUCACUCAAAAACCAUUAACGCAAAGUUUGUGAAUAACUCUCAGCCCUAACUUAAUUAUAGAUAAGUACCGGGCAUAAUGAAACUCGUAGUAUAGUAUUUGUAAAGUCGAGUAUGGUUGACGUAUUUAUAAAAGUAUAAAUUACUCGCUUUUAUAGAGAUAUGUAUUUUAACAUAACGAUCUUGUAUAAGUGUGUAAAGUCUUAUGCAUGAUGGAAGUAUUUAUAACUUAAAUUUGUAGCAUGCAUAUCAUAUAAGACUUAUAUAUUUGUAUCAUAAAUAAUAUAUAGCACAUGUAUUCUCCCCCAAAACAAAUAAAUACAAAAAGAGGGGCCGUAACUCUCACCUUAUCGAGUGGUAAACGAGUAGUUCUGAAGACCAGAAUGUAUUGCCGUGAGGUCGUGAUCUCCGGGAUUAGUUCGAUUUCCUAGAAAUUCGAUAUAUAUUAAUAUUUGGACGUGAUUAAGUAUUAUAACAAUUUCUUGAAUAAUUCCCUAAGUCUUGCCAAUUUAAAAUUUAUAAUUAUUUUAAAUAAAUUUUAAAAUUUAAUUUAUUAUUUUUCCGCAAGUUUUUAAAUAACCAAAAUUAAUUUAUUUGAAAUCAACUUUAAAAUUUCUAAUAUAUACGUAUAAACAUUGUUCAUUUAAUUUUGUAUUUAAAGUUUGAUUUGUUUUGAAAAGAUUUGUUCAGUUUAGGGUAUGUUUUAAAUAUUUUGAUUAAACUUUCAUUGUUUAACAACUAGAUUUGAGAUAAUUCUAAAUAUGGAGGGACUAAUAAUGGACAAUUUCAAAGUUGAGGGAUCAUAUCUAUUUAAAUGGAAUGCAUGUUUGUAUAGUGUCGAUCAAUUACACAGGAGGUGUUAACCUCCUGUGUUCACUCGAAUUCCAUGCAUAAACAAAGGAAAAGAAUUACGCAUGAUUUUAUGGUUCUUUGGUUGUUUAUUAUGAUCGACAAUGAGAAGGAAAUAAAUAUACAAGGUGGUGACGGUAGGGACUUACAGUGGCAGCAACACAGCAGUGGCAAAAAGAGAAGGUGGUUUGUUCGUCGGUGGUGGCAGGAGGGUCCCCGACAGCCUCCUGCUGCCUUCUGUUGCGUCUUCUUCCCGAGAAAAAGAGAGGGGAGGGUGGAGAGACUCUCGGUGGUUGAAAUCAGGAGCAAACCAUGGUUGAAGGAGGUGUUUGAUAUUAGUGGCAGUGGGUGGUGGUGUAAGGAAAGAGAAGAGAGGGAGAGAUUAAGAGAGGGAGUGAUAGAGAGAAGAAGAACCGAUUAGUUUGUGAGGAUUCAGGUGAAGUAAAGCCCUCUAUUUAUAGUAUAAGUCUACACACACAUGCUUACUAAUAGCCAUACCUUCAACUGUUUAUGUACUUUUGGUGAUACUUGCAAACCAAGAUGAAGAGUGAGGUAGAGGAGAAGCACGUGGGAAGCUGGAAGGAGAUCAGAUUUUUGGAGUCCAUCACACCAUGGGGGCCCCACAUGGAGUUAUACCUCCACUUCAUGUCCCAAAACAUGCGAAAACGGGUUCCUUGGGAUUCGUGCAUCGAAUAUUUUUUUUUGAAAGGACUUUUAGAUAGAGUAUAAUUCAAGGAUUCCAGAACAUCAAACGGAUUAAUUUUUGGAGUUACGGAUCUCCGGGAAAUUGCGUUUGAAGUUUUGCGUCUUAACGGUUGGCGGUGUCCGUUUUCGCGACUUUCAUAAAUAUUUUCGUAAAAAUUAUUUCGAGUGUGAAAUUAAAUAAUAUACUAUAUCCUGAGUCCAAAAAUGCUCUCAAAAAUCCCGUCGGCAAAGCGUAAGUGCCUCAACGGAACGUUUUUGUUUACGCGAUUAAAGAAUAAAAGUGUUUUACUGUCCGUUUUUCUUAAAGCGGUUGUAUCUUUUGCAUACAAACUCUGUUUUGGACGUUCUUUAUAUUUUUGGAAAUGGGGGAACAUGUACUAUCAUAUUUUUGUGUUUAUUUUGCUCAAAAAUGAUUAAUGUUAAAUUUCAGUUUUCAGACGCAUUAGUCAGCGCUGCAGUUGAGCGGUUUGAUUUGGUUACCAGUUUACACGUUUGGGCAUAAAAAUAUCAUCAAAUAUUAUAUAAUAAUUGAAAUUAACUCAUUUAUAUUUCAUUAGAUGCAGUUAAAGCUGAAUAAAUUAAUUACAAAUAGAUUUGCCGUAAUUUAGUCGUUUGAAAUCUAGGCCCUAAAUUUCGGGAUGUCACAUUACCUCCCCGUUAAGAGAAUUUCGUCCCGAAAUUAUUACAUUCUUGGCUACUUUACACUAGUAGUUAGUUCUUUCACUGGUGGAGGGGGCAUCAUUAAAUAAGUGUGGGUACUUUUGUUUCAUUUGGUCCUCACGUUCCCAAGUAAACUCUGGCCCUCUACGAGAGUUCCAUCGGACUUUUACUAUAGGUAUGCGGUUUUGUUUAAGUCUUUUAAUCUCCCGAUCCAUAAUCUCCACCGGUUUUUCUAUGAAGUGAAGCUUUGUGUUGACCCGAAUUUCAUCGAGUGGUACAACCAAGUUUUCAUCGGCUAGGCACUUUUUGAGAUUACACACGUAGAAGGUAUCGUGAACCUUGUUGAGCUCUUGAGGUAGCUUGAGCUUAUAAGCUACCGGACCAACUCUUGCUAGGAUCUCAAAGGGUCCAAUGUAGCGUGGGUUUAGCUUUCCUCUUUUUCCGAAUCUAAUGACACCCUUCCAUGGGGCAACUUUUAGUAGGACUCGGUCUCCUACUUUGAAUUCCAAUGGUUUGCGUCUGUUGUCAGGAUAACUCUUCUGCCGACUACGUGCGGCUUUUAGCCGUUCUUUUAUCUGAACAAUCUUUUAUGUUGUCUCCUGAAUGAUUUCAGGUCCAGUGAAUAGUGUAUCUCUAAUAUGUUUUCCUGCUAGUUGGGUAUCUCCAACCUCUGCCCAACAUAAUGGUGAACGACAUUUGCGCCCAUACAAGACCUCGAAUGGAGCGGUCUUUAUACUACUGUGAUAGCUAUUGUUGUAAGAGAACUCAACUAAUGGCAAGUGAGUAUCCCAUGCGUUACCAAAGUCUAUCACACAAGCGCGGAGCAUAUCUUCCAGAGUUUGUAUUGUCCUUUCGCUCUGGCCAUCCGUUUGGGGAUGAUAUGCUGUACUCAUGUCGAGUUUUGUGCCUAGGGAUCUUUGCAGUGAUUGCCAAAAUCUGGAAGUGAAUCUACUAUCUCGGUCCGAGAUGAUAGAUAUUGGCACACCGUGUAGUCUGACUAUCUCCUUGAGAUAAGUUCUGGUGAGUUUUUCCAUCUUAUCAGUUUCCUUGAUGGCUAAGAAGUGAGCGGACUUGGUCAAACGGUCAACCACUACCCAUAUGGUAUCGUAACCGCUUGAUGUCUUGGGCAACUUUGUUAUAAAGUCCAUUGUUAUUUGCUCCCACUUCCAUUCUGGAAUUGAUGGUUGUUGUAGCAGGCCAGACGGUUUCUGGUACUCCGCCUUGACCUUGGAGCAGGUCAAACACUUACCAACAUAAGUGGCAAUUUCUGCCUUCAUAUUGGGCCACCAAUAAUGCUUCUUGAGAUCGAGAUACAUCUUGUCUGAUCCGGGAUGUAUUGAGUAUCUUGACUUGUGAGCUUCAUUUAAAACCAAAUCUCUGACUUCUCCAAAUCUUGGAGUCCAAAUUCGGUUCAUGAAGUAUCGCGUUCCAUCAUCUCUGAGGUCGAACUGUUUGUCCAUGCCUCGUAGGUUUUCUUCCAUGAUGUUUUCAGGUUUAAGUGCUUCUAGCUGAGCAUCACGAAUUUGAAUAGUAAGGUUCGAGUGGAUGGUUAGGGUUAGAGCCUUUACACGAAGAGGUUUUGCUCGUUCCUUCCUGCUUAAGGCAUCUGCCACAACGUUUGCUUUACCGGGAUGAUAACGAAUUUCGCAUUCAUAAUCAUUUAGUAAUUCGACCCAUCUCCGUUGUCUCAUAUUGAGCUCUUUUUGAUCAAAAAUGUGUUGGAGGCUCUUGUGGUCUGUGAAUACAAUGCACUUUGUCCCGUAUAGAUAGUGUCUCCAAAUCUUCAGAGCAAAUAUUACGGCUCCCAACUCUAAGUCAUGGGUAGUGUAGUUUGUCUCAUUUGGCUUCAGUUGUCGGGAUGCAUAUGAAAUAACCUUAUUCCUCUGCAUUAGUACACACCCUAACCCUUGACGUGAGGCAUCACAGUAUACUACAAAGUCUUCUGUUCCUUCAGGAAGAGACAAAAUCGGUGCACUGCAUAACAAUUGCUUCAAUUUUCGGAAGGCAGACUCUUGACUGUCUCCCCAGUCGAACUUUUUGUCUUUCUGGGUUAGUGCGGUGAGGGGCUUGGCUAUUUUGGAGAAGUUCUCGAUAAAUCUCCGAUAAUAGCCUGCAAGCCCUAAGAACUGGCGUACUUCGGUUGGUGUUGUUGGUGCUUUCCAAUUCUUGACAGCUUCAAUCUUUGCGGGAUCGACAUGAAUCCCUUUACUGCUGACCACAUGACCGAGGAAAUGAACUUCGUUAAUCCAGAACUCACACUUAGAAAACUUUGCAUAAAGUUUUUCUUUUCUUAGCAGUUCUAGAAUUAAACGCAAGUGCUGGCCAUGUUCUUCCUUGGUUUGUGAGUAUAUUAAUAUGUCAUCGAUGAAGACAAUCACGAAUUUGUCCAAGUAGGGUUUACACACCCGAUUCAUAAGGUCCAUGAAUACAGCAGGUGCGUUGGUCAGUCCAAAUGGCAUCACUAGAAACUCAUAGUGACCGUAUCUAGUUCGGAAUGCCGUCUUUGGAAUAUCUGCUUCUUGAACUCUAAGUUGAUGAUAGCCGGAUCGUAGGUCGAUCUUUGAGUAGUAACAGGAUCCUUGUAGUUGGUCGAACAGGUCAUCGAUCCUCGGGAGUGGAUACCGGUUUUUGAUAGUGAGCUUGUUCAACUCUCGAUAGUCGAUGCACAUCCUAAACGAACCAUCCUUCUUUUUGACAAACAAUACCGGGGCUCCCCAUGGAGAGAAGCUUGGCCGAAUAAAGCCUUUGUCGAGAAGUUCUUGAAGUUGACUGGAUAGUUCUUGCAUUUCCGAUGGGGCUAGGCGAUAAGGAGACCGUGCCAUUGGUGCUGCACCCGGGAUAAGGUCGAUUCGAAAUUCAACCUGUCUGAUAGGAGGUACUCCAGGUAGGUCUUCUGGAAAUACAUCUGGGUAGUCACACACUUGUGGUAUGUCUUUGAUUUCCUUACCCUUGCCUUGCGUAUCCACCACGUGGGCCAAGAAAGCGUAGCAUCUCUUCUGCAAAUACUUCCUUGCCUUCAUGCAAGUAAUGACUCGUAGGUUUUUCCCUGCCUUGUCUCCAUAAAUCACAAGGACUUCAUCGUUUGGUAAGGGUAAUCGUACAGCUUUUUCGUAACAUAGAAUCUCCGCUCGAUGGGCUGAUAACCAAUCCAUUCCGAUGAUUACAUCGAAACUUCCAAUGGUUAUGGGCAUUAAGUCGACAGGGAACACGUGAUUAUUCAGGGUGAGAAGGCAGUUGGUGAGUAUUUCUAAGGUGCUUUCUAUUUGACCAUUGGCUACUUCUACCAUGUAAGCAUUAUUGAGUUUGCAUGAUUUAUGAUUAAUCAUUUUUCUAAAUUUGUGGGAAAUAAAACUCUUAUCAGCACCAGUGUCAAAUAAUACAGAGGCAUAAAUAUUGUCGAUAGGAAACGUACCAGUAACCACAGUUGGUUCCUGGCGUGCGUCUCCCGCACCUAUCACAAACGCCCUUCCUUGACCACCCUGUCUCUUCAGCUUAGGACAAUCUUUCCUGAAAUGUCCCGGUUGGUUGCACUCGAAGCAGGUUCGACUUUCUCUUGCAGUAGUAGUCGAGGCUGUGUUGCUUGGGUUCUUUUUGCAAAAUUUGGCGGUAUGACCGCUUAAUUUGCAGUUGCUACAGAUCAUGCAGUCUCCAACAUGAUGAUAAUUGCACUUAGGGCAGCGAGGUAGAGUUCCAGCGUAGGGCUUUACUGGAGUGGGAGUGGUUGUGAUUGCAGCAUACAUCGUUACAGGCUCUGGGUUUCGCUUACGGUGUUUGAAAUUCCCUUUUGGCUUCCCCUGGAACCUUCUCAUAGAAUUCCCAGUUUGGUUCUUUUCUUUUGCGGGGGCCAUGGUGCCUCGUCGGAUACAUUGUUCAGUCAACUCAUAAGCCAGUUGCUUGGCACUGUCAAAAGUUGAGGGUCUGGAUGCAGUAACCAGACCUUGGACUGGCGAUGCUAAUCCCCAAAUGUAUCUCUCCGUCUUCUUGUCUUCUGAAGGCACCAUUCCGGGACAAAGAGUUGCAAGGUCUUCGAAUCGGGAGGUAUAAGCAGCUACCUCUGAUCCUUGCAUGGUUAGGUUCCAGAGUUCUUGUUCUAAUGCCUGAAUCUCCUGCCGUGGGCAAUACACUUUAGUCAUCAUUAGUUUCAGCUGUUCCCAUCCCAUGGCAUAGGCUUCCGCAAUUCCCACGGUCUUGGCAUGGUUGUUCCACCAAGUUAAGGCAGCAUCCAUCAGUGUGCAGGUAGCGUACUUAACCCUGCAGUCAUCCGGGCAAGAGCUGAUGUGGAAGACAGCUUCAAUCUUUUCUAUCCAUCGGGAUAGGCCAACAGCUCCUUCAGUUCCGUAGAAGGAUCGGGGUUUACAACCCAUGAAUUCUUUGUAUGAGCAGUGUUUGGGAUUUCUUUGGGCAACUACAGGAGUACCACUUCCGCUAUUUCCAGUAUUCCCGUUUCGAGCAGCCUCAUAAGUCGCCAAGGCCGUAGCAAUCCCUUGUGCAAGCAUGUUCUGCAUCAUGGUGGGAUCCAUCUGGAAAUUUUGGUGGUUAUUUGUAGCACUUGGGGCUUCUUCAGGGUCUAGAGUUUCUUCUGUUGUUUGAGUUAUCUCUGGAGCACUUCUCCUGUUAGUUCGGGGAGUCGGUGGUGGACGAACUCGUGGUUCUUUUCGUCGAGGCAUUAUCCUAAUACGUUAGAUAAGUAAGUUAAUUUUUUUUUUAAACCAUAUAGUUAUAAUGUGUGUGUAUUUUGUAUUUGUUCAACUUGUUUUUCUUGCGAAACCAGAAAAUGAAAGCUUUUCCUGAUAUAUAGAGUUUUGCAAGCAAUACAUAAUAAAUACAAACAUUUAACAAAACACUGAAACAUUGUCAUCAGAACUGCUUGUUUUGGUUACAAAGUUUUAACCAUAUAAGGUUAGAAAUAGAAAAGCUUUUCAAAAGAGCUAUUACAAACCAGGCAGUGAUAAACACUUGCAAUACAAAAGCUAUUCCUCAAAAGUCCUAACCUUAUCCUAGGACACAAGCUGUCCUAGAUAUCUACCUCCCAAAUCGAGUCAUCACAUAGAGGACAAAGUCCUCGAACUGGUCCAAGAUGUAGCGUCGUUCCUGCGCAGAGAUAACCAACUGAUUUCGCUGCGCAGCAAGCUCGCUCUCCAUGAUCUGAAUCCGAUAGUUCUGUGCUCUAACCUGAGCACUCAAGGCAUUCACUGCAUCGUGAUCAGCACCCGAGAGAUGAUAUAAUAUCUGGAUCGCAUCAGAAUUCUCCUUCUCCUCUUCCUCGAGUGUCUCAACUCGAUGGUCGAGGGAAGUAGAGCCUGGACCUCUCACAAACUGCUCCAAGGAUCUAAUCCUAUCCUCGGUCUGAUCAGUCUGAGUCAUCAAGCGAGGUAUCGGAUCAUCCUCAGGAUUAAACCUGAGUGGUGCUCGUGAAGAUUCACCAACCUCAAACCGUGGUGGUAGAUCAGUAGCAUCCCUCCUGCUAAGGAGGUCUGUGAGCCAAGAUGGCUCACUGGGUCGAGUCCGUUUCCCUAAUAGACCACUAGUGGGUCGGGAAACCUGAGCAGCUGGGUCCAAGUGGUAAAUAGGAGAUAUAGUAGUUCCUGGGGUCCUCAUCAUACAAGGGCCCUUGCCGCGCAGAAGGUACGGCUGGUAGUAGGGUCUCGGUGGUGAGUCUGGUGGGGUAAGGGGAGUAGGUUCCUCUUCGGAGAGGUCUCCCUCAUCCUCUGCAGGACCAUCAUCAUCAGUCUCUUGGGCAUCCUGAAAUAUGCCCUCAUCCUCGAGCUCCUCCUCAUCGGGAUCCUCCUCAGGAUCCUCUUCGGGAUCCUCCUCAGGAUCCUCUUCGGGAUCCUCCUCCUCAAGACCGUCCUGGGGAAAGUACGGAUCCCCCGCUAAGUGUAGUGGAUGUGGAUGCAAAGGAACUCCAAAUGGCUCAUCAGGAUCCUCAAGUCGAAACCAGUCAUCAGGGUUAUCCGGUAGUCCAGCCAUCUACAUAAAAGGGUUUCAAGCGGGUUAGUAAAUUUGUAUAAGUUUUUCGUAAGUGUUUUAAGGUUGAUAAAAGGAUUCUAAGGUACUAAGCUUCAGCAACGAAUCUGGUGGACAUUCUUUAACUUCUAAAACCCUCAACCGUUGUAGCUUGUCAAACUCCUUGCUCAAGGUUGGUUGUGCACCGGCCCGACCAUAAAUAACAUAGGCGCGCGUUCCAGGUUUAUUUGUGGUAUGGCUUAUGUACGAUACUAACCUUUAAUUGAGGCGUUUGACCUAAAGGGUUGAGUUGGUAGUUUUAGUUGAAGGGAUGUUUAGAAUUUUUAUUAAGUGUUCUCAUCGUGGGUUAGGGUAUAUAUAUCAACUCUUACAUAUUAAGGUUGGUGGGGUUUGUAGUAUUAUUAAUCUUUGUUUUGUACUUCCCAACUACCAUACCGUAAGUAGUCGGGAAGUAGUUUUAUUAUUGAUAAUACUUUUAUAAGAAGCUAGUUGCUAUAGUUGUAUUCCUCUUUCGAGGAUACGAGUUCUCUAUAGCCAAUUUAGCUCUGAUACCAAUAUGUCACACCCCCGGCCGAGGCGGCGGAACAUGCCGGGCUGUGCGACUAAGUUCAUGGAUCAUAGAUAAAUUGAAUAUACAGCACAAGUACAACAAUAAACAAAACAACAUUUCAUUACAUAUUUAUGUUUUCAUACAAAGUUCUUACAGAUAGUAAUAAGAUAAUAAUACGAGUUUGCCUUAACAGUUAGGCAUAACAGUUCAAAAGUAGAAAAUUAAAGUACUUGCGAGCCAUGUUUUCCAUCAUCUGAGUGUGCCCGAAAUUUCACUGAUUUCCUGAGAAUACAUGUAUUUUAAAAGUCAACACGAGGUUGGUGAGAGUCACAGGUUUUCUGCUAGCCGCAGUAAUAAUACUUUCAAAAGUCCAAAAGUAUAUUUUUCUUGUAUAACAAUAGUUGAAACAAUGCUUGUCAUGAGUCUUUAAAAGCCAAUAAGUAAUUUUAUAAAUAAAUCUAUGUUUUUAAAGAAAACGUGUUUGAUAUAACUUCAUGAAAGUUUAAAUAUAUCCAUUGUAUAAGUAACCACUAUACUUAAAAACAGUUCUAAAAGCAACCAAACCUAUGGUUGUAGUGAAAAAGUGAGAAAGAUUCGUGUUAAUGUUUUUAGUGAGUUCUAUAAUCGAGCUAUAGACGAAAGGUACCCCUCCCUACGACGCUUCAUUGGACAUCGUAGUAACGAUCGUAGACACAUAUCACCUGCUUCGAUUGAUCAGUCGAUGGUUGUAGCUAGCAACCGCAGGUGGGGUUGUCAACCCUAUAUAGAUCUAUAUAUAUGUACCUCGCUCCGAAGAUUAACGAUUAUAGCAGUAUGGGGUAGGCUAAGUGAUUAAACUUAGCUAAUGAAUAGUAGCGUCUCACUCAAAAACCAUUAACGAAAAGUUUGUGAAUAACUCUCAGCCCUAAUUUAAUUAUAGAUAAGUACUGGGCAUAAUGAAUUUCGUAGUAUAGUAUUUGUAAAAGUCGAGUAUGGUUGACGUAUGUAUAAAAGUAUAAAUUACUCGCUUUUAUGGAGAUAUGUAUUUUAACAUAAUGGUAUUGUACAAGUGUGUAAUGCCUAGUAUUCAGAUAUGGAAGUCUUUAUAACUUUUAAAAUUGUAGCAUGUAUAUCAUAUAAGGCAUAUGUAUUUGCAUAAUAAAUACUAUUUACCACAUGUAUUCUCCCCCAAGAAUAAAUAAAAUAUUGAAAAGGGGCCGUAACUCUCACCUUAUCGAGUGGUAAACGAGUAGUUCUGAAGACCAGAAUGUAUUGCCGUGAGGUCGUGAUCUCCGGGAUUAGUUCGAUUUCCUAGAAAUUCGAUAUAUAUUAAUAUUUGGACGUGAUUACGUAUUAUAACAAUUUCUUGAAUAAUUCUCUAAGUCUUGCCAAUUUAAAAUUUAUAAUUAUUUUAAUUAAAUUUUAAAAUUUAAUUUAUUAUAAUUCCGCAAGUAUUUAAAUAACCAAAAUUAAUUUAUUUGAAAUCAACUUUAAAAUUUCUAAAAUAUACGUAUAAGCAUUUAUCAUUUAAUUUUUGUAUUUAAAGUUUGAUUUGUUUUGAAAUGAUUUUUCCAUCUUAAAGUAAGUUUUAAACAUUUUUAAUUAAACUUUUAUUAUUUAAAACUUAUUUUGGAAUAAUUUCAAUUAGUGAGGGACUAAAGCUGGAUAAUUUCAAAGUUUAGGGACUAUAUCUAUUUGUUUUGAAAUGAUGUUUAAACAAUUACCAUUCUUGUAUAACAGGAGGCAUACGCCCUCCAGUUCUUCUUCUUCUUGUCGCAAUACUUAAAUGAAGAAAGAAAGAAACAAAAGUUUGUAGCAAUUCUUUAUUAUUAUUAUUAUUAUUAUUAUUAUUAUUAUUAUUAUUAUUUUGAUACUCGAUGUAAGAAAAAAAUAUAAUACAGGCGGUGAAGAUAGCUUACUGGGUGGAGGAGAUGGUGGCUGGCGGUGGCUUAAGGUGACAACAGCAGCGUCACAGUGGUGGUGGGUGAUGGCCGGCAGCCUCCUGCUGUCGUUUCCUAGCUUGGUUUGGCAGCUGGUCGACGGAAGGGAGAGAGGGCAGCUGCUGGGGGUGAUCAAGGGGGUGUUUGGUGGUGAUCUUGAUCAAGGAAGGUGGCUAGUAGUGGUGGAAUAAGGUGGUUUGUGUGGUGGUAAUGUUGUACCCAUGAGAAGAAGAAGAGAUAGAGAGGAGAGAAAUCUGCAAUUGUUUGUGUGGAAGGAAGGAAGCUCAUGCAUUCUUUUUAUAGUCAAAUGAGCUCACUCACAAGCCUUGUUAGGCCAUGCUUCCACCCAU